GUAGGUGAACCUGCGGAAGGAUCAUUAACACUAAUUUAUUUUAAAAAUAAACCAAAUAAACCCCUCUCUUUUGGAUGGUGGCCGUAAAAAAGCCCCUCCAUAAGGGAAUGUGUGACACUGUGUAACCUUUUUUUCUCUCUCAUUUACUCUAAAAACCAGUCGAACCCCAGUCAUAAAAAAAACCAAAAAACUAAAAACAAAAAACCAAAAAAAAAUUAAUAAAAAAUACAACUCUUAACAAUGGAUAUCUUGGUUCUC
This 258-nucleotide unclassified non-coding RNA is filed under the name rhizosphere metagenome. RNAcentral describes it as "partial ribosomal RNA internal transcribed spacer region". The record is from RNAcentral.